GAACGCACAUUGCGCCCGCCAGUAUUCUGGCGGGCAUGCCUGUUCGAGCGUCAUUUCAACCCUCAAGCCCCAGUCGGCUUGGUGUUGGGGACCGGCCCCGGCCGCCCCCCAAAUGCAGUGGCGACCUCGCCGCAGCCUCCCCUGCGUAGUAGCACAACCUCGCACCGGAGCGCGGAGACGGUCACGCCGUAAAACGCCCAACUUCUCUAGAGUUGACCUCGGAUCAGGUAGGAAUACCCGCUGAACUUAAG
RNAcentral lists this unclassified non-coding RNA (251 nucleotides) under uncultured Hypocreales. RNAcentral describes it as "sequence contains 5.8S rRNA gene". The stretch from base 1 to 53 matches the Rfam family "5.8S ribosomal RNA", at positions 102 to 154 of the family's 154-position model. The record is from RNAcentral. Lineage: Eukaryota; Fungi; Ascomycota; Sordariomycetes; Hypocreales.